GUCUCUGAAUAAAAAGGCAAAAUUUGCCCAGAGACAUGUACAGAGGGAAGACUAUGUAAAGGGACAUUGGUAGAAGAUGGCGUCUAUAAGCCAAGGAGGGAGGCCUGGGGCAGAUCCUUUCCUCAUGGCCUUCAUAAGGGAGCAACCUGUGGACCUCUUUCUUGGUCACAGACUCCCAACCUUCUGAACUGGGAGCCAGGGUCUGCUAAGUUUUGCCAAGGCUGGCCUGAAACUUCUGAUCCUUUUGCCUUCGCCUCCUAAAUAGCUGGGAAUACAGGUCUGAAUCCAGUUAUUCAGCAAAAAGCAGCAUGAGAUCACCUUCUAACACCUCUCCAGCUCCUUUGGGGUAGGUGAAAAGGGUUUUCCGUGGUGGGGCAAGGUCUGAGACACUGAAACCUGAUGCAGUAAC
Marmota monax (woodchuck) is the source of this 409-nucleotide long non-coding RNA. RefSeq lists it as uncharacterized. The transcript is spliced from 3 exons. The record is from RefSeq and is a predicted model, not a curated record. Lineage: Eukaryota; Metazoa; Chordata; Mammalia; Rodentia; Sciuridae.